Molecule: long non-coding RNA, 629 nt
Filed under: Nicotiana benthamiana
Lineage: Eukaryota; Viridiplantae; Streptophyta; Magnoliopsida; Solanales; Solanaceae
Description: long non-coding RNA (NBEN_LNC005218)
Source: RNAcentral
AAAUCUAGAGAAAAGCAAAGGCGGCUGAAAAGUUUCAUAAAAUUUAUUAUUCCAUUGGUUUUUGAUUUCACUCUUGAGGUUUUCUGUUUUUCUGAAGUUAUCUGUGAUUCACAUGGGUUAAAGAUGGUUUAAUUUGGUUUUUCAGAACUAAUCUUGUGCUGAACUUGAUUUUGGAGUAUUGUUUCAAUUCAAGCUUGGAGUUUAUAAAUUUGGAUUCGAGUCUAUUUAGAAGUUUGGUUCGAAGCUGCUUGGUUCUGGUUUACAAUUCUAUCGGAUCUGGGGUUGAUUUCUUCUACUUUCUACAGUUGCUCGACCUCUGCUCACCUUGAAUUGUUUUUUCUCAUUUUCCAGGUAUUUCAUGAACUGUGGAUGGAAAAUGGUUGUACCCAUGCAUUCUGUAGUAGAAAUUGAAUUGGAUGCAAAAAUUGUUUUGAGUUUUUGAUUUUUUGUUUUCUUCCUGCUCUCAGUCAUAUAUUUGUAGUAGUUUAGAGUUCUGCAUGCUAUUUUCAGCCUUCAUAUGCCUUCAGUAUGAUGUAAUGAUAGAUUUAUGCUCUUGAAUUUAGGACUGUUUAAUUUCAAUAUGAGUACAAGUUUUAGGAGUCGAACACAAAUGUUAUACUGAAGUAAUU